Long non-coding RNA from Gambusia affinis (western mosquitofish), 446 nucleotides. RefSeq lists it as uncharacterized. The transcript is spliced from 2 exons. The record is from RefSeq and is a predicted model, not a curated record. NCBI's taxonomy places the organism in Eukaryota, Metazoa, Chordata, Actinopteri, Cyprinodontiformes, Poeciliidae.
GAUGUCCAGCGGCGCUUCUCCUUCUGCUCCAAAGCCUGGUGCCUCCGAGCAAAGACUUCAUCACAGAGAUCCUCAAUCUGUAUACGACACAGAAUGCACUGGAAGACAUGAAGUAUGGCAUUGAAAAAACAGGUCAUCUGGAAUCUUUCAGCACCUACCCAAUACUAACACGUUCAGCAUCCGUCAGUUAUUACAGAGUAUGAGGAUCUAAAUUAAAAAUGAUCUGAGAUCCACAAUGAAGACCAUUGACUGUGUUUUAUCGUGUUCACACUAUGUAUGCAUUUCUGAGUUUAUUCUCAAUAUUUUUAUUUUGUGCCUGCAUAAAAUAACUUAAUUUAAAGACAUGUGACAAUAUGGCCCAUAAUAAGUAACAAAUACACAAAGAAAAACAUUAACUUCUGCUCCAUUCCAACUGACAGACGUUUAGUAGUUUGAUGGGUUUAACU